This is a long non-coding RNA of Anopheles stephensi (Asian malaria mosquito), 725 nucleotides long. RefSeq lists it as uncharacterized. The record is from RefSeq and is a predicted model, not a curated record. Lineage: Eukaryota; Metazoa; Arthropoda; Insecta; Diptera; Culicidae. The transcript has 2 exons.
ACAUCGACCCAACUUCCUAUCAGCCAAUAACGUUGAUUGUAGGCCAAUUAUGGAGGUAUGCAGCUGGUCGUCACAUACAGGACACUUACAAUCACACCAUCCGAAGCGGGUAACUGCCAUCCGGCACGAUCCGUUGUAAUUACACCGCGCACACGUAUCGCGCCUUCAUCCAUUAUCCUUUCCCAAUGGCCAAUGCCAGUCCCCGGAAGAUUACCCCGUUUUGGACAAAAAGACCACCGAGCGCGGGAAAAACCUUCGAUAGGUGGUCGGUCGGAACAUGUCCUCUUAUCGUUAUUGGACCCCUUUAAAAGAUGUCAAUAGAUGUCGACUGCUUAAUACGCUCGUUUCGGUUCCCGGUCCCAUCAUCAGCGAUCAUCAUCAGCGCCGUGCACACAGAAGAUAUCUUCAGUUAAUCUUUGAUGGUAACGACCGUCACGGUGGUAACACAGCAGAACAGCGCCAGAUGUAAGAUUUGGGUCCGAAGAUAAAACUGCAAAUGGUAGUAGGUAUUGUUGUCUUAUCGUGUCUAGCCGGCGACUGUCACACAGGCGAUUUUGGGACAAUUGAUUUCGUUGCAUUAAUUAUUUCUGCAUACUGGCAUUGUGCUCUAAGUGCAAGAGAACAAGGAAGCGGCUAUUCUUAGCUAAAGCUCCUCUUUACAGAUUCUUAACAUUCGUUUCGCAGAAUUUUAUUUGACAAUAGAUGAAUUCAAAGUUGCUUCAAUU